This 301-nucleotide ribosomal RNA is filed under the name uncultured bacterium. Its description in RNAcentral is "partial 16S ribosomal RNA". It matches the Rfam family "Bacterial small subunit ribosomal RNA", at positions 509 to 807 of the family's 1533-position model. The record is from RNAcentral.
CAGUCGCCGCGGGAAUACAGAGGGUGCGAGCGUUAAUCGGAUUUACUGGGCGUAAAGCGUGCGUAGGCGGCUUCUUAAGUCGGAUGUGAAAUCCCUGAGCUUAACUUAGGAAUUGCAUUCGAUACUGGGAAGCUAGAAUAUGGGAGAGGAUGGUAGAAUUCCAGGUGUAGCGGUGAAAUGCGUAGAGAUCUGGAGGAAUACCGAUGGCGAAGGCAGCCAUCUGGCCUAAUACUGACGCUGAGGUACGAAAGCAUGGGGAGCAAACAGGAUUAGAUACCCGGGUAGUCCCUGUCUCUUAUAC